This is a non-coding RNA of Caenorhabditis elegans, 21 nucleotides long. The record is from Ensembl. NCBI's taxonomy places the organism in Eukaryota, Metazoa, Nematoda, Chromadorea, Rhabditida, Rhabditidae.
UAGUGUGCAAAAAUUGAAUAC